GCAUCGGUGGUUCAGUCGUAGAAUUCUCGCCUGCCACGCGGGAGGCCCGGGUUCGAUUCCCGGCCGAUGCA
RNAcentral lists this transfer RNA (71 nucleotides) under Petromyzon marinus (sea lamprey). RNAcentral's name for it is "tRNA-Gly (GCC) (tRNA-Gly-GCC-12-1)". It matches the Rfam family "tRNA". Rfam says of the family: Transfer RNA (tRNA) molecules are approximately 80 nucleotides in length. Their secondary structure includes four short double-helical elements and three loops (D, anti-codon, and T loops). The record is from RNAcentral. Lineage: Eukaryota; Metazoa; Chordata; Hyperoartia; Petromyzontiformes; Petromyzontidae.